RNAcentral lists this ribosomal RNA (490 nucleotides) under uncultured bacterium. Its description in RNAcentral is "partial 16S ribosomal RNA". It matches the Rfam family "Bacterial small subunit ribosomal RNA", at positions 30 to 523 of the family's 1533-position model. The record is from RNAcentral.
AUUGAACGCUGGCGGAAUGCUUUACACAUGCAAGUCGAACGGGAGUAGCAAUACUCUAGUGGCGAACGGGUGAGUAACACAUCGGAACGUACCCUGACGUGGGGGAUAACACAUCGAAAGGUGUGCUAAUACCGCAUACGUCCUGAGGGAGAAAGCGGGGGGUCGUAAGACCUCGCGCGUUUGGAGCGGCCGAUGGCGGAUUAGCUAGUUGGUGGGGUAAAGGCCUACCAAGGCGACGAUCCGUAGCUGGUCUGAGAGGACGACCAGCCACACUGGGACUGAGACACGGCCCAGACUCCUACGGGAGGCAGCAGUGGGGAAUUUUGGACAAUGGGCGAAAGCCUGAUCCAGCCAUUCCGCGUGAGUGAAGAAGGCCUUCGGGUUGUAAAGCUCUUUCGGCAGGAACGAAACGGCUCUUUCUAAUACAAGGAGUCAAUGACGGUACCUGAAGAAGAAGCACCGGCUAACUACGUGCCAGCAGCCGCAGUAA